This 87-nucleotide non-coding RNA is filed under the name uncultured Prevotella sp. Lineage: Bacteria; Pseudomonadati; Bacteroidota; Bacteroidia; Bacteroidales; Prevotellaceae. The record is from RNAcentral.
AAAACGAGGGGUGCUUGUGCUAUUGCCAGGCUGAGAUUAUACCCAUAGAACCUGAUACGGACAAUGCCGACGCAGGGAAAGUGUUAU